This 158-nucleotide ribosomal RNA is filed under the name Saccharopolyspora flava. RNAcentral's name for it is "16S rRNA. Bacterial SSU". It matches the Rfam family "Bacterial small subunit ribosomal RNA", at positions 1 to 157 of the family's 1533-position model. The record is from RNAcentral. Lineage: Bacteria; Bacillati; Actinomycetota; Actinomycetes; Pseudonocardiales; Pseudonocardiaceae.
CAUUGUUGGAGAGUUUGAUCCUGGCUCAGGACGAACGCUGGCGGCGUGCUUAACACAUGCAAGUCGAACGAUGAAGCCGCUUCGGUGGUGGAUUAGUGGCGAACGGGUGAGUAACACGUGGGUAAUCUGCCCUGCACUCUGGGAUAAGCCUUGGAAAC